AAUCAGCACUCUGUGUAUAUGCAGUCUUAUCUUCCCUCUAUCAAGACAUCUUUUGAUGUGCCUGCCCUAUGUUGACCUCUUUGUUUUUGUGGAUUUUGUUCUCAUUUGGACUUCAUUUCAUUGGCCAUCAAAGCCUGCUAUUUGUUGGGGCUUUCUGACUUCUGCCUCCUACAUGUGGGUCCUUAUUCCUGCUCAUUGCGAUACAUACAAAGGUCAUAACAAGAAGAACAGAUUGUAAUGGAUCUUGUUUCCUUGAACCGAUGAAGCCAAGGGGUGUACUACGAAGUGAGACUGGUGGGUUAUUGAGCAACGUUGAGUUUAAGCUUGAGUUAAAUAUGUUUCCUUGUGUGACGUGGCAGACUGCAGAUGGGACUCACCCGCUCCAGCUGGAUGUAGAACGUCUGGUCCCAGCUCAGCCUGCUGAUGGCUGCCCAGCGCGUCCGGCCGACCACUCUGCCGUCCAGCCUGAGCACGCCACUGAUCUCUGCGCUGUGAAGCACAAAAUCACCCCGAGUGAGACCCGAUCUGAAUGCUCGCUGCAUACAGAGCAACUCCAGGAUUUGUCUCCUCGUUACAUCAUCAUCAUGAGGCUUUUUUUUUUUUUUUUUUUGCCUUUUUAGCCUCCAGCAGGGAGAGAUGGGCUUACAAGUGAACUGUCCAAAACCAGCAGAUUACAUGUCUGAUUAUCCACUGCCAGAGGUCAGCGUAUGGUUAGCCAUGUUCCAACACUGGGCAGGCAUGGUGCCGCUAGAAAGAGCUAUGUGUUAGAGAGAAAAAAACAUAAAGCUUUCUUUGAGAUGUAGGUGUUUGAGCAAAUUAAUGUUAGGAGAGAUUUUUAAAGAUCAGUAAUAAUUUCACACAGAUUUCCUGGGAAUAACUACUUAAAAAUAGUGUUAAUUAGUACACUUGCAAUUAGUUAAAUCCAGUUAUUUUCCAGUCUUCUGAAUGUACUAACACAUGAAAUGUGUCUAUAAUUAAACAUAUGAUUCUGUAA
Long non-coding RNA from Oreochromis aureus, 994 nucleotides. RefSeq lists it as uncharacterized. The record is from RefSeq and is a predicted model, not a curated record. The transcript has 6 exons. Lineage: Eukaryota; Metazoa; Chordata; Actinopteri; Cichliformes; Cichlidae.